GACGAACGCUGGCGGCGUGCUUAACACAUGCGAGUCGAACGGAAAGGCCCUGCUUUUGUGGGGUGCUCGAGUGGCGAACGGGUGAGUAACACGUGAGUAACCUGCCCUUGACUUUGGGAUAACUUCAGGAAACUGGGGCUAAUACCGGAUAGGAGCUCCUGCUGCAUGGUGGGGGUUGGAAAGUUUCGGCGGUUGGGGAUGGACUCGCGGCUUAUCAGCUUGUUGGUGGGGUAGUGGCUUACCAAGGCUUUGACGGGUAGCCGGCCUGAGAGGGUGACCGGCCACAUUGGGACUGAGAUACGGCCCAGACUCCUACGGGAGGCAGCAGUGGGGAAUAUUGCACAAUGGGCGGAAGCCUGAUGCAGCAACGCCGCGUGCGGGAUGACGGCCUUCGGGUUGUAAACUGCUUUCGCCUGUGACGAAGCGUGAGUGACGGUAAUGGGUAAAGAAGCACCGGCUAACUACGUG
Molecule: ribosomal RNA, 468 nt
Filed under: uncultured bacterium
Lineage: Bacteria
Description: partial 16S ribosomal RNA
Rfam family: Bacterial small subunit ribosomal RNA
Source: RNAcentral